GAAAGGAGUAAUCCGUCUGAAGAUGAGCCCGCGUCCGAUUAGCUAGUUGGUGGGGUAAAGGCCUACCAAGGCGACGAUCGGUAGCUGGUCUGAGAGGAUGAUCAGCCACAAUGGGACUGAGACACGGCCCAUACUCCUACGGGAGGCAGCAGUGGGGAAUUUUACGCAAUGGGGGAAACCCUGACGUAGCGACACCGCGUGAGCGAAGAAGCCCCUUGGGGUGUAAAGCUCUGUCAGCUGGAACGAAACAAAUGACGGUACCAGCAGAGGAAGCAUCGGCUAACUACGUGCCAGCAGCCGCGGUAAGACGUAGGAUGCGAGCGUUGUCCGGAUUUAUUGGGCGUAAAGAGUUCGUAGGUGGUUUGUUAAGUUUGAUGUUAAAGAUCGGGGCUCAACCUCGGGACAGCAUUGAAUACUGGCAGACUUGAGUAUGGUAGAGGCUAGUGGAAUUCCCAG
This 456-nucleotide ribosomal RNA is filed under the name uncultured bacterium. Its description in RNAcentral is "bacterial SSU rRNA". It matches the Rfam family "Bacterial small subunit ribosomal RNA", at positions 202 to 673 of the family's 1533-position model. The record is from RNAcentral.